This 979-nucleotide long non-coding RNA is filed under the name Vulpes vulpes (red fox). Its description in RNAcentral is "lncRNA (ENSVVUG00000007285.1)". Lineage: Eukaryota; Metazoa; Chordata; Mammalia; Carnivora; Canidae. The record is from RNAcentral.
AACCUUUAAAUUCUAGAUUGUAGCAAUAAUGGAAGAGAUAGAAGACAUUUAUGUACAAAUACUAUUCCUUUUCCCAGCACCAAUAUACUUCUUUCUAUCACAGCUUCAGUUUAAAAGCAUUCAAGGAGUUUCUGAAGCCUACAGCUUGUGAAGAAGAGGAUCUAUGGGGAAUUGGACACGGAAACAGGAAAACCGGGAACAGAAGACCUGAGGCAGGGACCAAAGUUAGCCUGCAGAAUCGAAGAGCAAGAGAAGCUGUAAACCCAAUGAGUCUCGAGUGCAUGAGCAUUGGAAUCCCAGACCUGGAGUUGUACAAACCAAAUGUGGAAUCAAAGCUGAACACCUGCCAGCCAAGUCAGAAGUCUGGAGAGAGGCUGCCUUGGAACCAGUAAGGGCUUCCUGCUCCUUCCUCCUCCUACGUGGCCCUUGUUUUAUGUACCCCAAUAUUCUGAAUACAGGUCACAGAUUUAUUCUCCAAGGGCAAGUGUGUGUCUUUAGAUUUUCUGCCUUCUUAGGAAUAGGCCAGACCUAGUUGUAUUAAUGAUGUAUUAAUACUUUUUUGUUAUGAAGAACUUUGAAAUAUAGAACCAUAGCUAUAGGUUCUAGGAUAAAAGUAUAACCAUCCCCCUACUUUGGGACAACACUAUUGAUGGUGUUAUUGGGGUGACCACUUCUCACGAAGGUACACACUCCCGCUUACCCCACUACUCAUCAGAAUCUCAUUCCUUUUCCUUCCACUCAAGAAAUAUUAGAACAGGGCAGCCCGGGUGGCUCAGUGGUUUAGCGCCGCCUUCAGCCCAGGGCCUGAUCCUGGAGAUUCGGGAUCGAGUCCCGGGUCGGGCUCCCUGCAUGGAGCCUGCUUCUCCCUCUGCCUAUGUCUCUGCCUCUCUCUCUCUCUCUCUCUCUCUCUCUCUCUGUGUGUGUGUGUGUGUGUGUGUGUCUCAUGUUCAAAUAAAUACUUUUAAAAAAUAUUGGGACA